This is a long non-coding RNA of Astatotilapia calliptera (eastern happy), 1531 nucleotides long. The record is from Ensembl. NCBI's taxonomy places the organism in Eukaryota, Metazoa, Chordata, Actinopteri, Cichliformes, Cichlidae.
ACUGUUACACCCCGGCCUAGGCAACCGGAGUGCAACACGAAAAAAGUAAAAAUAAAGAAAGAAAAACACACAAAAAAACCCCCACUAAAGCUCACCACCAAAAUCCCAAAACGAAAGUAUCGACAAAUCUAUUUACAGCUAUUUACAACAAACUAUUUCUUGACAACAAAACACCCAACUAUUUACAACGGGGGGGAAGAUCGCGACCAUGACACACUGAAACACAAGGCUUAAAUACAUAGAAGGGGCAAUCAGGGAAUGGACCACAGGAGGGAAACACAGCUGGGGCAAAUUAGACCUGACGAGACAGGGAAACGUAAACUGAAAACACUAAGAUAACACAGACUUUCAAAGUAAAACAGGAAACAUAACAGUCACGCCAAAAGCAACACACCGACAACACCAAAACGUAACAGUUCCCCCCACCCAAAAAUCAAACAUUUAACACCAAGUGAAAAGUUUGAUCCAGACAGACGAAGCCGAUGAAGGCUGGAGCGGUCCCACUGACCCUCCAGCAGACGACGAAGGCUGGAGCGGUCCCACGGACCCUCCAGCGAAGGCGGAUGAAGGCUGGAGCGGUCCCACGGACCCUCCAGUGACGACAAAGGCUGGGGCGGUCCCACGGACCCUCCCCUCAGCGAAGGCAGACGAAGCUGAUGAAGGCUGGAGCGGUCCCACUGACCCUCCAGCAGACGACGAAGGCUGGAGCGGUCCCACGGACCCUCCAGUGACGACAAAGGCUGGGGCGGUCCCACGGACCCUCCCCUCAGCGAAGGCAGACGAAGCUGAAGGCUGGAGCGGUCCCACUGACCCUCCAGCAGACGACGAAGGCUGGAGCGGUCCCUCGGACCCUCCAGCGAAGGCGGAUGAAGGCUGGAGCGGUCCCUCGGAUCCUCCAGCGAAGACAAACGAAGGCUGGAGCGAAGGCAGACGAAGAUGAUGAAGGCUGGAGCGGUCCCACUGACCCUCCAGCAGACGACGAAGGCUGGAGCGGUCCCACGGACCCUCCAGCGAAGGCGGAUGAAGGCUGGAGCGGUCCCACGGACCCUCCAGCGACGACAAAGGCUGGGGCGGUCCCCGGACCCCCCAGUGAAGGCAAUCCCGGACGAGCCCCCAUAUGUUACACCCCGGCCUAGGCAACCGGAGUGCAACACGAAAAAAGUAAAAAUAAAGAAAGAAAAACACACAAAAAAACCCCCACUAAAGCUCACCACCAAAAUCCCAAAACGAAAGUAUCGACAAAUCUAUUUACAGCUAUUUACAACAAACUAUUUCUUGACAACAAAACACCCAACUAUUUACAACGGGGGGGAAGAUCGCGACCAUGACACACUGAAACACAAGGCUUAAAUACAUAGAAGGGGCAAUCAGGGAAUGGACCACAGGAGGGAAACACAGCUGGGGCAAAUUAGACCUGACGAGACAGGGAAACGUAAACUGAAAACACUAAGAUAACACAGACUUUCAAAGUAAAACAGGAAACAUAACAGUCACGCCAAAAGCAACACACCGACAACACCAAAACGUAACA